CUAGCCCUAAACCAUCAGGACUUGGGGUUUGCCCUGUACGGGGCAAGUCCCGUAGCUAACGCGUUAAGUCCUGCGCCUGGGGAGUACGGUCGCAAGACUGAAACUCAAAGGAAUUGACGGGGGCCCGCACAAGCGGUGGAACAUGUGGUUCAAUUCGACGCAACGCGAAGAACCUUACCUGGGCUUGAACCGCACAGGACCAUCUUUGGAAACAGAGACUUCCCGCAAGGGACCUGUGUAGAGGUGCUGCAUGGCUGUCGUCAGCUCGUGCCGUGAGGUGUUGGGUUAAGUCCCGCAACGAGCGCAACCCUUACUCUUAGUUGCCACCCGCAAGGGGGAACUCUAAGAGGACUGCUCCGGAUAACGGAGAGGAAGGUGGGGAUG
This 384-nucleotide ribosomal RNA is filed under the name uncultured bacterium. RNAcentral's name for it is "bacterial SSU rRNA". It matches the Rfam family "Bacterial small subunit ribosomal RNA", at positions 796 to 1181 of the family's 1533-position model. The record is from RNAcentral.